CAGCCGCCGCGGUAAUACGUAGGUGGCAAGCGUUGUCCGGAAUUAUUGGGCGUAAAGGGCUCGCAGGCGGUUUCUUAAGUCUGAUGUGAAAGCCCCCGGCUCAACCGGGGAGGAUCAUUGGAAACUGGGAAACUUGAGUGCAGAAGAGGAGAGUGGAAUUCCACGUGUAGCGGUGAAAUGCGUAGAGAUGUGGAGGAACACCAGUGGCGAGGGCGACUCUCUGGUCUGUAACUGACGCUGAGGAGCGAAAGCGUGGGGAGCGAACAGGAUUAGAGACCCCAGUAGUCCCUGUCUCUUAUAC
Molecule: ribosomal RNA, 301 nt
Filed under: uncultured bacterium
Lineage: Bacteria
Description: partial 16S ribosomal RNA
Rfam family: Bacterial small subunit ribosomal RNA
Source: RNAcentral